Long non-coding RNA from Alosa sapidissima (American shad), 1575 nucleotides. RefSeq lists it as uncharacterized. The transcript is spliced from 3 exons. Lineage: Eukaryota; Metazoa; Chordata; Actinopteri; Clupeiformes; Clupeidae. The record is from RefSeq and is a predicted model, not a curated record.
CAGUUUGUUCAGACAGAUUUGAACACAAAUGUAAUGCCUGUAUAUAAAAAUGGCCUUCAGUGUGUUAUCUUCAGCAGUAGUUAUUUAGUUAUUUUAGUUUAGUUUAGUUAGACCCUCAACUAUUUCUAACAAAAAGACUCGAGAAAAAAAGAUUGGAAUGAUUCGGUACAGUGACAUUCGGCCUAUAGUGUGGCAGUAGCCCUAAUCAGGUACAUGUGGCAAUUAUUUGACCUGGCAAAAAAUAUGAGGAUGGGAGUGACUUUCAAACAUAGGCUAUUAACAGCUUUUUGGGUAUACAUUUAGAUGAACAAUAUACAGUAGGCUACACAUAAGCAAGAAUAUGACCUCCAUUGUAAAAUAGAGGAAACAAGUAGGCCUAUUUAAUGUGUCAACAUUUCUCUUAGUAAAUACAUAUCCAUGCAUGUAUUGACAGGACAUUUUGCCAAGUUUUUGGUGUUAAUAAAUGAAAUCCACACAGAUGAAGGAAUCAUAAUGGCAACUGAUCAAAAAAGUGGACAGUGAAGUGAGGCAGACAGGAGGCGAGUGGUAGAGAGAGAUGGGGUAGGAUUGGGAAAUGACCGGAGUCCCCGAGGGCACUUGGGCCCUUAUAUGGUAAGAGCGCUGUAGCCAGUUGCGUCACAGUGCCCCCCCCCCUAAAAAUAUGUUUACUUUAUUUAUAAUUUUAUAGUAUAACAGGAUCCAGUCCUGACAUCAUGGCUCAAGAUGAUCGCUGAGCUGCCCCACUCCAGGCCUGGACCCGGGAAAGAGUGGUGAUGCUACAAGGAGUUCCCUGCAGUAUUGCAGUUCCCUGUCUCAUUGAAGCUGAUGGGUAUUGGGGAAAUUCUCAAACACUCAUUGCCAGCUACUGCUGAAGCCUGGAGACUGUUGGAAAACAUGACCCUGAAAAGCUAUCUCUUGUUGGUACGCUGCUGAUGAGUCACUGGGGCUACAUGAUUUGGGGAAAAUAUCUAAUUGUGAUUUUUCUGACUGAUAUUGCGAUCGGAUUUGUGAUAUGAUUUUUGAUUCGAAUGUCAAUGAAUUGAUUCAGUUAAAUAUUCCAAAUGUCUUUUUAGGUUGUGCCACUUGUGAUGUGUAAGUGUGAGUAUGUGAGUAUGCCUAGUGCAGCUCGCCAAUCAGAAGUGAUGUACUUCUCACACACAAGGCAUGCUCACCAAUCAGAAGUGGCACAGGAUGACAUGAAUGUAAAAAUAAUAAAUUUAAUUAACUGUGCGCAAUUAUUUGUAGCCUCUGUGAUAAUUGCAGUGGUUCAUGUUGCGGUUGCGAUAAUUCUGCAGCCCUAUGAGACACCAAAUGACUCUUUUGUGGGUGCAGACGCAGACCAUCUCAGCAGAUAGUAUGGAAGACAAAUAAGGUUAUCCAAGGUGCUUUUAAAGACUGCAGUGCAGUGUGAAUGAGAAGGCCAUCUAUAGAUGAAGAACACCAGGACUCAGGCACAGAAAUAUGACGAGCCAGAGUAGAAGCACAGCUGUCGGAAGUUGUCGAUCUUCAUGAUCAUUUAAUCAGAAUAAAUGGGAUUGGUUAUGUGGUUGCCCAGCAACAUUGCUCAAAAAGUUG